Molecule: transfer RNA, 88 nt
Filed under: Gammaproteobacteria bacterium
Lineage: Bacteria; Pseudomonadati; Pseudomonadota; Gammaproteobacteria
Description: tRNA-Leu
Rfam family: tRNA
About the family: Transfer RNA (tRNA) molecules are approximately 80 nucleotides in length. Their secondary structure includes four short double-helical elements and three loops (D, anti-codon, and T loops). Further hydrogen bonds mediate the characteristic L-shaped molecular structure. tRNAs have two regions of fundamental functional importance: the anti-codon, which is responsible for specific mRNA codon recognition, and the 3' end, to which the tRNAs corresponding amino acid is attached (by aminoacyl-tRNA synthetases). tRNAs cope with the degeneracy of the genetic code in two manners: having more than one tRNA (with a specific anti-codon) for a particular amino acid; and 'wobble' base-pairing, i.e. permitting non-standard base-pairing at the 3rd anti-codon position.
Source: RNAcentral
GCCCGGGUGGCGGAACUGGUAGACGCAGCAGACUUAAAAUCUGCCGACCCAAAAGGUCGUGCCGGUUCGAUUCCGGCCCUGGGCACCA